Molecule: transfer RNA, 92 nt
Filed under: Scardovia inopinata
Lineage: Bacteria; Bacillati; Actinomycetota; Actinomycetes; Bifidobacteriales; Bifidobacteriaceae
Also listed under: 2 other names
Description: tRNA-Leu(gag)
Rfam family: tRNA
About the family: Transfer RNA (tRNA) molecules are approximately 80 nucleotides in length.
Source: RNAcentral
GUCCGGGUGGCGGAAUGGUAGACGCGCUAGCUUGAGGUGCUAGUGCCCAUUUUUGAACGGGCGUACGGGUUCAACUCCCGUUCCGGACACCA